This is an RNA transcript of Coffea eugenioides, 1912 nucleotides long. It is a transcript of the gene named F-box/kelch-repeat protein At3g23880-like, with no coding region annotated. The transcript has 3 exons. NCBI's taxonomy places the organism in Eukaryota, Viridiplantae, Streptophyta, Magnoliopsida, Gentianales, Rubiaceae. The record is from RefSeq and is a predicted model, not a curated record.
CACUUGAGCUCAACCUGGAAAGGGACUACACAGCUCCACAGUAGUGCGAGCAGAGGAACUCUGAAUUAUGUCCAGAAUCAAGUAGAAACCCUCCGCUCAUCAAAUUCUUUUCUCAAAAAAGGUUUAAUCUUUCCAGUCUUUAUAGUCUCUUUGCCUCACUCAAGAGUCUAUAAUUUUACUACUAAAUCCAGAAAAAGGUCCUUUAAAAAAAUGUCCAAUUUCAUCCCUGAAGAAAUUGUGACCCGAAUCCUCACAAGGGUUCCUGCAAAGUCUCUCAUAAGGUUCAGGUGCGUAUCCAAAUCAUGGAAAUCUUUGAUCUCCAGUCCUGAUUUCAUUUCUCUGCAUACCAGAGAAGCUUUUCUCUCAAAACCCACCAUCCCAGAUGAUAGGAUGCUUGUUAGGUGCUAUUCCAAACCCCAAAGAACUGAACUUUACUCUGUACACCACGACAAUGAAGAUUUCACUGUGGCAAGUGAGGUCAAAAUAGACUUCCCUUUUCGCCGUUUAGCUCAGUUUUAUUUCAGGAUUGUGGGUUUUUGCAAUGGGUUACUGUGUUUGUCUGAGGAUAUUUUUGGAUACAGAAACCUUAUUAUGCUGUGGAACCCUUCGAUCAGGCGAAAAAUGAUUCUUCCUGUGCCCCGCGCCGUUUUUGAGAACUUGGGGACUUAUAUGUUUGUGGUUGGAUUUGGAUAUGACGUGAAAAACAAUGAUUUUAAGGUUGUAAGGAUUGCUUAUGAUCAGUCUAGACGCGGGUAUAAGUUGCCUCCCAUAGUUGAAGUUUUUGCGCUGGGUGUAGGUGAUUGGAGGGAGAUUGAUGUUGAUUUGGCUCAAAACUGGGUGAUUGAGAACUUCUGGACUCAGGCGUUUGUGAACGGAAAGGUGCAUUGGGUUGCUUAUAGGUUGAAUGAAGAGAAGGAGAAUUUGAUUAUGGUGUUUGAUUUGAGCAAUGAGGUGUUUGAGGAACUGUUGUUGCCUGAUGCUUUGGCUGUUGAGUGUCCAAUAAAUAUGUGCACUUCUGUUUGUGAGGAUUCAAUUGCUGUUCUCAACUAUGAUAAGCGUGUUGGGACUGGAAGCUGUUCCAUUUGGUUGAUGACAGUAUAUGGCGAUGUAAAGUCUUGGAGCAAAAUGUACACAGUAGCUCUUGAAGGAGAAUUGGGGAAGAUAUUGAGUUUUAGGAAGGAUGGUAAUAUAUUGUUGACAGCAAGUGACGGAGAACUGUAUUCAUAUGAUCCAGAUCCAAGGCUUCAAGAAAUUAAAUACAUUGGAAUUUUGGGCACCAAAGAUUCAUUCUUUGUUGGUCGGUAUACGGAGAGUCUAGCUUUGCUGAUUGAAGGAGAAGAAGAAUUGGAAGGUCUACCAAAUGCGGCUGACUCUGGUUCUUCUGAAGAUGGCAAUGGAGGAGAGGAUUGUGAAGUUGAAAAGAUUGAGCUGUGGAAGCAGUCCAUCUUGGUUGGCUUUCUGAAAGCCCUACUGCUUGCACAAUGAUGCAGGUUUUUAACCAUUUUGGUAUGCUCUAUACAGGAGACAAAGCCUAAGUUAUGGCUUAAAACUUGCCUUGCCUCUAAACACUGAUCCUUUUUUGCUGUCUUUUGUGUCUACUGGGUAGCUGAUCCUUGUGCAACACUUGCUUUGAACUGCCCUUCCCGUUUUCUUUGAAUGAAGACUUUUAUGGGAAGUUGAUGUUGCCAGAGCAGUUGUAGUUGAUUAGACUCAGAUGAUGAUUGGAGACUUGAACCUUUUCAUUAAUUUAUCAAGCUGAAGCUCGGAUCAUUGAAUUCAAUCAAAUUCAAGUACUUGAUUAUCUUCCUGAUCUUGUACUUAAAUUACCAAGUUCCGUGGAGCUGGUUGAUUAUGAUAUAUAUAUAUAUAUAUAUACACACACACACACACUCCAUAUAGUAGUAGUUUAUUA